Molecule: transfer RNA, 77 nt
Filed under: Candidatus Altimarinota bacterium
Lineage: Bacteria; Candidatus Altimarinota
Also listed under: 1 other name
Description: tRNA-Met
Rfam family: tRNA
About the family: Transfer RNA (tRNA) molecules are approximately 80 nucleotides in length.
Source: RNAcentral
GCCAAUGUAGCUCAGCUGGUUAGAGCACGGGACUCAUAACCCCGAGGUCGGUGGUUCGAGCCCACUCAUUGGCACCA